AACACUUGUCAAUGGAGAGAGGCCAGACUCUCUGUACAAAUGAAAUGUACCAGAGUCUGGUAGGACCAGGCUAGUCUCUGCAGGCUUUUCUUAGGGAUCCCGAUUAGAAGUGCGUUACAAAAAUCCAGUGUGGAGGAGACAAAGGCAUGGACCAGUUUUUCAGCAUAAGGUGAGUGCCCUCCAGGAGGCGCUACAGGAGCCUCUGUUCCAGCCCACCUGCUGCUGCUGAAUGUUCCUUUUUUUGGUUCAUGCUUCAUGAUGAUGAUGAUAACAGGUAAACAGACAAACCCUUUUAUUGUUUCAUUGCAUUGAUUUAGAUGUAGAUUGUAUUCAUCUUUUGUUUAAAGUUUUUGUUAUCAUAAGGAGCUUUUUAUACUUAUCUUUUAAGUUAAAGUAGCAAUACCACAGUGUAAAAAUACUCCAUUAGAAGUAAAAGUACUCAUUAUAAAAAAAUUGACAAUAUAUGAUAACUUAUGAAAGUGAAUUAUUAUUGCAGAUGGUGAGUAAGCAGCAUUGUAUUGUUGUAGCUAGUCGACAGGUAGCUCAUGUCACGCCCCCGCCUGCUGUGACUUCUGCACGGUGACAGUCUUGUGUGUGUGUGUGUGUGUGUGUGUGUGAAUGUGUUUUGGUUUAUUUCUUCAUUUUGUUAUGCCUGCCAUGUGUUUGGUGUGUUUUCUUUGUUUUUUUUUCUCUGUCUGUCUGUGUUUCUGUUCCCGCCUACAUGUUCCACAGAGUGAGGACACGCCCCCCCUCUUGAUUCUACCCACACCUGGUACCAAUUCCAGUCAGCGCACCUGCUACUCAUCCUGCUCCAUCAUCUGCCUUCACAUGCCAGUCUGACUUUCCUCUCCCUGCCGGAUUGUUGCUUACCACUGAAAAUAACCCACCUUCGGAGUCUUCUGCUGCCAAUAGCCACGCCACCCACGCACUGGAACAUCAAGUCUGCAGCCACACUGAGGAACACAGCCCAGCACCCCCUCUGCUAGCCCUGCAUUCUUCGGACCCAGCACCCCCACUGCCAGUCUAGCCAUCUUUGGACCCAGCACCCCCUCUGCUAGCCCUGCAUUCUUCGGACCCAGCACCCCCACUGCCAGCCCACACUCACAGCUUCAAUAAAAUAAGAUUCUUUACCACCUA
Molecule: long non-coding RNA, 1137 nt
Organism: Sander lucioperca (pikeperch)
Lineage: Eukaryota; Metazoa; Chordata; Actinopteri; Perciformes; Percidae
Exons: 2
Source: RefSeq, a predicted model, not a curated record